GGCCUUUUAGUUUAUUUAGAAUUUUUUAUUUACGAUAAAGUGGUUUUUAGGUUU
This 54-nucleotide transfer RNA is filed under the name Dipetalonema gracile. RNAcentral describes it as "tRNA-Val". Lineage: Eukaryota; Metazoa; Nematoda; Chromadorea; Rhabditida; Onchocercidae. The record is from RNAcentral.